RNAcentral lists this long non-coding RNA (332 nucleotides) under Lathyrus oleraceus (garden pea). RNAcentral's name for it is "Pisum sativum (pea) long non-coding RNA (PSAT_LNC035163)". The record is from RNAcentral. Lineage: Eukaryota; Viridiplantae; Streptophyta; Magnoliopsida; Fabales; Fabaceae.
UUAAUGUGUGAAUUUACUUAGCAUUACAUGAUGAUUUAUAAUGCUUAUUAUAUCGAUUGAGGAACUCACCCUUACAACUAUUUUUCAGGUAACGAGCAGUGAUUGAGUAGAAGCUAGUGCUUGGAGUCUAGUGUAGUCUCCUUAGUGGGUCAUGCUCUGAUAGAUGUAACAUCGGGACGGGAUGUUUUAAUUGUUUUAUUGUUGGUUGUUGGACCAUUUUACAUGUAAUAUGUUAUAUAUUUUGAAUGGUUGAUUUGAUUUCUAUCCGCUGCGAAUUAUGCAAAAAUGUUAUUUUGAUUAAAUAAAGAGCAUGACAGUUAUUAUGGUGUGAA